RNAcentral lists this ribosomal RNA (398 nucleotides) under uncultured bacterium. RNAcentral's name for it is "partial 16S ribosomal RNA". It matches the Rfam family "Bacterial small subunit ribosomal RNA", at positions 361 to 776 of the family's 1533-position model. The record is from RNAcentral.
AUAUUCCGCAAUGGGCGCAAGCCUGACGGAGCAAUGCCGAGUGCAGGAUGAAGCGGCUUCGCCGUGUAAACUGCUGUCAGGGGUCAGAAACACUGAUCGACCCCAGAGGAAGAGGCGGCUAACUCUGUGCCAGCAGCCGCGGUAAGACAGAGGCCUCAAGCGUUAAUCGGAAUCACUGGGCUUAAAGGGUGCGCAGGCGGCUCGGAAAGUGUCCCGUGAAAUCCCACGGGUCAAACGGGGAAACGGGGGGGAAAACAACGGGGUUGGGGGAGGGAGAGGGGGGGGGAAAGAAAGGGGGGGGGGGGGGAUGCGUAGAGAUCUAUCGGAACGCCGAAGGUGAAGACAGCCCGCUGGGCCUUUCCUGACGCUCAGACACGAAAGCGUGGGGAGCAAACAGG